GGGAGAGGUGGCUGAGUGGUUGAUAGCUCCGGUCUUGAAAACCGGUAUAGUUUUGCUACUAUCGAGGGUUCGAAUCCCUCUCUCUCCUU
This 89-nucleotide transfer RNA is filed under the name Allium przewalskianum. RNAcentral describes it as "tRNA-Ser". It matches the Rfam family "tRNA". Rfam says of the family: Transfer RNA (tRNA) molecules are approximately 80 nucleotides in length. The record is from RNAcentral. Lineage: Eukaryota; Viridiplantae; Streptophyta; Magnoliopsida; Asparagales; Amaryllidaceae.